CCCAAGAGCUAGGAUUACAGGCGUGAGCCACAGCGCCCGGCUAAAUUAUUUUUUAAUACAUGUAUGAGUUCAGUGUCUGGCAGCAUAUAGCGAGUUUUAACUUAUGUUUUUAAGACAGUAAAUCAUAUUUUCUUUUGUUCUGACACAAGGAGUAUCAAACUUUUUCCACUGAGGGACUAGUAGUAAAUAUUUUAGGCUUUAUAGGCCAUACGCACUCUCUGUCAUUUGUUUGUUUGUUUGUUUGUUUAUACAAUCCUUUAAAAAUGUGAAAACCGUUCUUGGCUUGUGUACCUUAGCCUGCCAGCCCAGUCUUAGCCAGUGGUCACAGGCAGAUUCAUCUGCUGUACUCGGAAAGCCUCACGCUUCCACCCUUUUGGCUUUUUAAAAACUUAAACACAAAUAAAAGUACAGAGAGUAUGUAACACCCAUGUAUCCUUCAUCCCACUUCAAAAAAUGCUAACUGUUGUGUGUCUACUUUAGCUUUCCUCUUUCCCCGACGACUCGCAGCAACCGUGCAGACGUCCUUGUGCGUCCUUCUCAGCUGGCGAGUCACUGAAAUCAGUGACCUCUCCUGGCCGGGCCUGAAGUCGGACUGCAGGCCCCGUCUUCGUGCAGGCAGGUGGCCGUGCCGCUGCACGGGCACUGGGGAGGGAACGGUGACGUCGCUCCUCGGCGCAAGCAGUGAUGAAGCAAGCGGAAGUGCGUCUUCCUCGUCCUCUCCCCGCCCGCCACACGCCACACGGAGAGAGAGGGACCAAGGGCCACGUGACAGAAACAGCCAGGGGCCUUGGAGUUCCCAGUUUCAAGUUCCUUGAAACUUCCACAUCAGACUGUGAUGUACGUGGGAAUAAUGCCUCUCAGAAGAAAAACGUGACUAAAUGAUGUAUAGUUAAUAUAAAAUGACAAUCCUGAACACAGCAAGCUCAUGAAGAAAACGGCGCUCUUUGAGCUGAGUGGCUUUUCUAAACUUUGGAGACAUGAAUCUUAGAAACAUUCAACUCUUAGCUACUUGGGGCCUUCUGAGCUAAUCUGCGGAUGACAACACUUUCUUCUCUAUUAUUACCCACAGUACUCUUUGGUAAGAAGAACCAAAAACUCCCAGGGCUGUAGAGUACAGUCUACAUUUUUAGUGCUUUUGAAUGAGUUUGGCUCUGAAGAUAGAUGCUGUAUUGAAACUUCUGGAGAAACAAGUUUCUUCUGUUGGUGCUCACAGGGGGACUGUGUGGCCAGGUCCUCAUGGUUUGUCCUACUCCUUUACAAUUACUAAGCCCAAACCUGACCCUGACGUAUUCACUCAAAGAAAGGGAGAAUAGCCCAGCCCCUGUGACUGCUCCGUCCUGAGCCAGCGAUGGCUGAAGACAGCUUUUGUAACAUGGGCACUUGAAUUAGGGGCUGGACUGAGAUGGUACGGGCAGCAGAGCGGUUAUAAAACAAGGUGAUUACUUUCAGCUAUGAUAGGAUUGGGCAAUGUGAGCUGCAGGUGAUAAACUCUGUAACCCAUGAAUGUACCUCUGCUUUAUCCAUUUUCCAUAUGAGGGUUUGCUUAGUUUUUUAAUUUUUUCCUAAAGGGU
Non-coding RNA from Microcebus murinus (gray mouse lemur), 1571 nucleotides. Lineage: Eukaryota; Metazoa; Chordata; Mammalia; Primates; Cheirogaleidae. The record is from RefSeq and is a predicted model, not a curated record.